This 481-nucleotide ribosomal RNA is filed under the name uncultured bacterium. RNAcentral's name for it is "partial 16S ribosomal RNA". It matches the Rfam family "Bacterial small subunit ribosomal RNA", at positions 28 to 507 of the family's 1533-position model. The record is from RNAcentral.
GAUGAACGCUGGCGGCGUGCCUAACACAUGCAAGUCGAACGGAGAUUACGGACGGAAGUUUUCGGAUGGAAGCCUGUAAUUCUUAGUGGCGGACGGGUGAGUAACGCGUGGGCAACCUGCCCUAUACAGGGGGAUAGCAGCUGGAAACGGCUGGUAAGACCGCAUAAGUCGGUUAAAUCGCAUGAUUUGAUCGGGAAAUGAGCAAUCAGGUAUAGGAUGGACCCGCGUCCGAUUAGCCAGUUGGCAGGGUAAAAGCCUACCAAAGCGACGAUCGGUAGCCGGACUGAGAGGUCGGACGGCCACAUUGGGACUGAGACACGGCCCAAACUCCUACGGGAGGCAGCAGUGGGGGAUAUUGCACAAUGGAGGAAACUCUGAUGCAGCGACGCCGCGUGAGUGAAGAAGUAUUUCGGUAUGUAAAGCCCUAUCAGCAGGGAAGAUGAUGACGGUACCUGACUAAGAAGCCCCGGCUAACUACGUG